UUAAAUUGAAGAGUUUGAUCAUGGCUCAGAUUGAACGCUGGCGGCAGGCCUAACACAUGCAAGUCGAACGGUAACAGGAAGCAGCUUGCUGCUUGGCUGACGAGUGGCGGACGGGUG
Molecule: ribosomal RNA, 117 nt
Filed under: Salmonella enterica subsp. enterica serovar Infantis
Lineage: Bacteria; Pseudomonadati; Pseudomonadota; Gammaproteobacteria; Enterobacterales; Enterobacteriaceae
Also listed under: 1 other name
Description: partial 16S ribosomal RNA
Rfam family: Bacterial small subunit ribosomal RNA
Source: RNAcentral